GUCUCUGUAGUGCAAUGGAUAGUGCGUUGGAUUUCUAGUCCAAAGGUUGUGGAUUCGAAUCCCACCUGGGAUU
This is a non-coding RNA of Trichonephila clavata, 73 nucleotides long. Lineage: Eukaryota; Metazoa; Arthropoda; Arachnida; Araneae; Nephilidae. The record is from the annotation of a GenBank genome assembly.